UUUAUGAAAACUAAUAAAAAAGUAAUUCCUGCCCAGUGACAUACAUGUUCAACGGCCGCGGUAUCCUAACCGUGCAAAGGUAGCAUAAUCACUUGCCCAUUAAUUGUGGGCUAGAAUGAAUGGACUAACGAAAUAAAUACUGUCUCUAUAAGUACAAUAAAAAUUAAUCCCUAACUGAAGAGUGUUAGAUUAUGUCGAAGGACAAGAAGACCCUAUAGAGCUUUAUCCUAACAAAGUAGAAAAAUCUUUAUUGGAUUCGGUUGGGGCGACCGGGGAAAGUUAUAAAUCAUCCCCCCUUCACAGAUAUAUGAAUCUUAAUAUUGACCCUUAACAAAGAUCACAAGAACAAGCUACCUUAGGGAUAACAGGCUAAUCUCACUAAAGAGUCCUUAUUAAUAGUGAGGUUUGGCACCUCGAUGUUGGCUUAGGGAAUCUAUGUGGCGCAAAAGUCACUUAAAGAUGGUUUGUUCAACCAAUAAUCUCCUACAUGAGCUGAGUUCAGACCGGCGUGAGCCAGGUUAGUUUCUAUCCUCGAUAACUUAAACUAUUUAUAGUACGAAAGGACCUAAAUAAGAAUAAUAAUUAUACUUAAAGAAUAAAUAUAACGCAAAUUAAAUAGAUGUAAAUAUACACUACA
Molecule: ribosomal RNA, 637 nt
Filed under: Scherotheca corsicana
Lineage: Eukaryota; Metazoa; Annelida; Clitellata; Crassiclitellata; Lumbricidae
Description: partial 16S ribosomal RNA
Rfam family: Bacterial large subunit ribosomal RNA (bases 1-556)
Source: RNAcentral